UCCGGUUUGUCACCGGCAGUCUCCUUAGAGUGCCCUUGCGUAGCAACUAAGGACAAGGGUUGCGCUCGUUGCGGGACUUAACCCAACAUCUCACGACACGAGCUGACGACAGCCAUGCAGCACCUGAACCAGAGGUCCCCGAAGGGAAGACCCUAUUUCUAGGGCUGUCCUCUGUUGUCUAGCCCGGGUAAGGUUCUUCGCGUUGCCUCGAAUUAAACCACAUGCUCCACCGCUUGUGCGGGCCCCCGUCAAUUCCUUUGAGUUUCAGCCUUGCGGCCGUACUCCCCAGGCGGGACACUUACUGCGUUAGCGACGGCACCGAGGGGGUCGCUCCCCCCGACGCCUAGUGUCCAUCGUUUACGGCGUGGACUAC
This 373-nucleotide unclassified non-coding RNA is filed under the name uncultured bacterium. RNAcentral describes it as "contains 16S-23S intergenic spacer region". The record is from RNAcentral.